This 473-nucleotide unclassified non-coding RNA is filed under the name Hevea brasiliensis (rubber tree). Lineage: Eukaryota; Viridiplantae; Streptophyta; Magnoliopsida; Malpighiales; Euphorbiaceae. The record is from RNAcentral.
ACUGUUCUUACAUUGACUGCUAUUAUUGUGAGACAUCUUAACCUGGCCAUUAUUUUAGAUUAUUGGGUUUUUUUAUUUGCACUUGCCCUUAAAAAUUUUUGGGCUUUGCAUUGAACAUGUGGCUGCAGCACUGGUGUCAUAGGGUUUUUGAAUAAUUUGGAAUAUCGACCUGGAAAAAAGUGGAAAACAUUAAGGAAAUCAACAGUAAAUUAAGUUGAUGGUAUGAACCGUGUAAAGCUUCAUUAAGGCUUCUUUUAUAACUAUGGGGAUGGAGGAAAAAGAUCAACUUGCUUUAUUUAGUCAGACUGAAUAUCAUUUAAACAUCCUAAUUAAAUAAUUUUAAAACUCUCGGAAUGUGAGGAGUCCCUAAUGAACAGGUAUAAAGCAGGUUAAGCAUUGCCCUUAGUGUAAGCCCUAAAACUUGACUAUAGGAGGUGGAUAGGCCAGGAAGGGGAGAGAGAAAGAGAGAGAGA